GUGGCGUGUGCCGGACGGUUAGGCACCUCCCUGUGGAGGAGGCCAUAACGGGUUCAACUCCCGUACGCCACCCA
RNAcentral lists this transfer RNA (74 nucleotides) under Candidatus Gottesmanbacteria bacterium RBG_13_45_10. Its description in RNAcentral is "tRNA-His". It matches the Rfam family "tRNA". Rfam says of the family: Transfer RNA (tRNA) molecules are approximately 80 nucleotides in length. Their secondary structure includes four short double-helical elements and three loops (D, anti-codon, and T loops). Lineage: Bacteria; Candidatus Gottesmaniibacteriota. The record is from RNAcentral.